UUCUAGAAGAGGUAUACAGAGGUAAAGACU
Molecule: non-coding RNA, 30 nt
Filed under: Rattus norvegicus (Norway rat)
Lineage: Eukaryota; Metazoa; Chordata; Mammalia; Rodentia; Muridae
Source: RNAcentral